AGCUCCAAUAGCGUAUAUUAAAGUUGUUGCGGUUAAAAAGCUCGUAGUUGGAUUUCUGCCGAGGACGACCGGUCCGCCCUCUGGGUGAGCAUCUGGAUCGGCCUGGGCAUCCUCUUGGGGAACGUAGCUGCACUUGACUGUGUGGUGCGGUAUCCAGGACUUUUACUUUGAGGAAAUUAGAGUGUUUCAAGCAGGCUUCCGCCUUGAAUACAUUAGCAUGGAAUAAUAAGAUAGGACCUCGGUUCUAUUUUGUUGGUUUCUAGAGCUGAGGUAAUGAUUAAUAGGGAUAGUUGGGGGCAUUCGUAUUUAACUGUCAGAGGUGGAAUUCUUGGAUUGCCUUACGACGAACUACUGCGAAAGCAUUUGCCAAGGAUGUUUUCA
RNAcentral lists this ribosomal RNA (381 nucleotides) under marine Metazoa environmental sample. RNAcentral's name for it is "SSU rRNA". It matches the Rfam family "Eukaryotic small subunit ribosomal RNA", at positions 587 to 972 of the family's 1831-position model. Lineage: Eukaryota; Metazoa. The record is from RNAcentral.